CCGUGACGCAGUAACGCCGCGUGGAGGAUGAAGGCCUUCGGGUUGUAAACUCCUGUCAGAAGGAACGACGGAGAAGGGGUGAAUAAUCCUUUCUUCCAGACGGUACCUUCAAAGGAAGCCCCGGCUAAUUCCGUGCCAGCAGCCGCGGUAAUACGGAAGGGGCAAGCGUUGUUCGGAAUUAUUGGGCGUAAAGGGCGCGUAGGUGGUCUUGUGUGUCUGCCGUGAAAGCACGCGGCUUAACCGCGUUCCGUCGGUAGAAACUGCAGGACUAGAGGCUGGGAGGGGCUGGUGGAAUUCCCUGUGUAGCGGUGAAAUGCGUAGAGAUGGGGGAGAACACUCGUGGUGAAGGCGGCCAGCUGGACCAGUUCUGACACUGAGGCGCGAUAGCGUGGGGAGCAAACAGGAUUAGAUACCCUGGUAGUCCACGCUGUAAACGAUGGGCACUAGGUGCCGGCGGUCUUGAUCCCGUCGGUGCCGGCGCUAACGCAGUAAGUGCCCCGCCUGGGGAGUACGGUCGCAAGGCUG
Molecule: ribosomal RNA, 525 nt
Filed under: uncultured bacterium
Lineage: Bacteria
Description: bacterial SSU rRNA
Rfam family: Bacterial small subunit ribosomal RNA
Source: RNAcentral